RNAcentral lists this transfer RNA (74 nucleotides) under Trichococcus palustris. It matches the Rfam family "tRNA". From Rfam's summary of the family: Transfer RNA (tRNA) molecules are approximately 80 nucleotides in length. Their secondary structure includes four short double-helical elements and three loops (D, anti-codon, and T loops). Further hydrogen bonds mediate the characteristic L-shaped molecular structure. tRNAs have two regions of fundamental functional importance: the anti-codon, which is responsible for specific mRNA codon recognition, and the 3' end, to which the tRNAs corresponding amino acid is attached (by aminoacyl-tRNA synthetases). tRNAs cope with the degeneracy of the genetic code in two manners: having more than one tRNA (with a specific anti-codon) for a particular amino acid; and 'wobble' base-pairing, i.e. permitting non-standard base-pairing at the 3rd anti-codon position. The record is from Rfam by way of RNAcentral. Lineage: Bacteria; Bacillati; Bacillota; Bacilli; Lactobacillales; Carnobacteriaceae.
GCACUCAUAGCUCAAUUGGAUAGAGUACUUGACUACGAAUCAAGCGGUUGCAGGUUCGACUCCUGCUGGGUGCA